CACCGCCCUUGGUUUAUUGGUGCAGCGGGCCUGGAGUGCCCGCUGGCAGCAGAUGCAGGCUGUGCUGGAGCGGUUGGGCAGGGG
This 84-nucleotide transfer RNA is filed under the name Marinococcus halophilus. RNAcentral describes it as "tRNA-Ser". Lineage: Bacteria; Bacillati; Bacillota; Bacilli; Caryophanales; Bacillaceae. The record is from RNAcentral.